Long non-coding RNA from Oncorhynchus tshawytscha (Chinook salmon), 2242 nucleotides. NCBI's taxonomy places the organism in Eukaryota, Metazoa, Chordata, Actinopteri, Salmoniformes, Salmonidae. The record is from Ensembl.
AUUGUGCUGUGUCUGUCGACAGGACCAGAGGUGAAGAGGCGAAUGGACAAAGGGAAUCAAUGGAAAAGCAAUAGCAGAAAAACAAGAUAUGAAAAUGACAUCCACAGUUGGUCAUGUAUCAGUGUGACAUUCAGCAUUAUGCCUGAAACUGAUGUGUUGCAGAGAGAGAAGAGAGAGAGAAGGAGAGAGAGAGAGAGAAGAGAGAGAGUUAGAUAGGUAUUUUAAAGUGGACUCCUCUCUUGAGUUCUGAUGACUGAGACAUUGGGUCUAGUUCAAAACAGUACUCUAUUUCAUUGACCUGCUGUCUUCUUAAGGGAGCACAGAGAUAUAAAGACCUGGUCUGAAUACUUACAAGCCAACAUGUCCACUCGUCUUUAUUAAAGGAACUUUGGGCAGCUAUCCAGACAAUCUUGAAAUUGAAAAGAUUAUGAGAGAUUAAUGUAACCUUUUGGCAAAUGCAAGGAUGAGAGGCAUUUUUAAAUGUGUUGCUAAGAGUUCGUGUUUCUUUUGGGCAAAAGUUGAUACUGCAAACAGCAGACACAAGUCAUGUAUCUUAUUUCACAAUAUUUUUCAAGAUAUUUUGUGUUAACCAUUUUUUUUAGGUUAAAAUAAAUUAUUUGCCAAUGACGUAAGAUAAUUUAGCUAGGUAAAAAAAAAUAUAUAAUCUAAAGGGAAUUAUCACGUUUCGGUUUUUGCAGUAUACCCUGAAAAAUCUUUUCUCAGAACUUAAAUAAAGAGUAUCGAACCACUGGACUACUCACGACUGACUCACUGAUCAUCUAAGCCAAUCCAAUCAGUCCACCACUUCCCACCCAAAAACAGACCAUCGGUCAGUGGUCACCGAAACAAGAACAAAGUACACAUGUAACCAAGAAAAAGCGCUGUGAGAAGUCCUCUAAUUCAAAUAAAGUGACUUGAUUCCACCAAACAGAUUGACAAUACUGAGAACAAACACUAAGGUAAAACGCUCCCUAAAAUGCUCUUUCACUUACUUUGAAUUGUGUAUUGACCAGCUGUUUUUAUACUGGAGGCCAGCUGUUAUGAGUGAUACCAUUGAUUACAGAAAUAUAUAUACAUAUCAGUGAUAUAUCAUUUGAAUCUAUGAUUAGUUUUGUUUGGGGUGAUGAAAAAUAUGCCAGGGAAACUGAAGCUAGUUGCUCUCGUCUUGCUCAUUCAAGCAUGUGUGUCCAUAGUGGCCCAGAUGCCAGCCCCAGAGGACUCUGUCUCUGAGGGGUUCUGCAGAGGGCAACAGAGACAUACAGGGCAGCCAAAGUUAAAGCCCAGAGAAUAAGAGAGGCGGUGCAGGCCUUUGCUGGUGCGUACUACGAGGACCACAUCAAACCAGUGGCUGAUCCCUACAUGGACUGGGCCUCAGCCUCCACCAGUUCCUUCUGGGACAGAGUCAAGGAGAAGAUCGACCAGUACAGACCCAUCUAAUGGCACCUGAAUCUAAGGCAGACAAACACCCACCCAGCUCACUGCCAGCACAUGUAUUCAUGCAAGGUGAUUCUAGGGCUGAUUCUAUGUUCAUAUACACUAGGGAUUACAACUAGAAGAGCGCGUGAACAAUGCUGUAUGAUUUGACAAGUGAAUGAGGACACCCAUUUACUGGUGUUUCACUAACCUCAGCACAAGGGUUGUGAUAGUAUUAAAACUGCCAUAGAGUGUAUUAGUAUCAUACCGUUUUGGCUCACAUAUUGCAUCUGAGUAAGUCAAUUAACUAUUGUGAACCCCCAAAAUGAAUUCAAACUAAAUAAAAUUUUAAAAAAACAUUUAGUUGUACCAUUAUAGUGUUGUGCCUUUUCAUUAAAUUUCCCUUGACACAGUCUACACUCCUCACAUUCAUCAAUCUCUGAACUGAAUGAAGUAGAAAGCUGAGAGAGACUGAGAAUAGAUUUUAGAAAGGCAGAGAGAAAGCAACAGGGAAUGACAAAGAGGGAGAGAAAGAAUGAGACAAAGAAAGAGACAGACGGACAGACAGACAGAGACAUCAGUGAUGGGAGGGACAUCUACAGACUGUGCUGAAAUCGGAGUGUUAUCUCGGUGAGAGUUGUCAGUUGAGAUACAAGGUUCAGCAGGGGUGUCUGACUGGACGGGAGAUGUGUGUGACCUGCAGGACAUUUCUCUCAGCUCUCUCUGUGUGGACGGACAGACGGACAGACGGACAGACGGACAGACGGACAGACGGACAGACGGACAGACGGACGGACGGACGGACGGACAGACGGACAGACGGACAGAC